GUGAAAUGCCUGAGCUCAACUGAGGCAAUUGCGUUUGAGACACUGAAUUGCUAGAGUAUUUCAGGGGUGUGCGGAACUGCCAAGUGGAGCGGGCUGAAAUGUGUUGAUAUUGGCAGGAACACCGGAGGCGAAAGCGGACACACUGGCGGGAAUAACUGACGCUGAGGCACGAAAGCCAGGGGAGCGAACGGAGAUUGACGAUACCCCGGUAGUCCUGGCUGUAAACGAUGAGCACUGGGCGGGAGAGGGGCGUUUCCCUUUUCUGCCGUAGCGAAAGCGUUAAGUGCUCCGCCUGGGGAGUAGACUGGUCGCAAGGCUGAAACUCAAAGGAAUUGACGGGGGCUCACGCAAGCGGGUAGGAUGAUGUGGCUUAAUUCGAGGCAACGCGAAGAACCUUAUCCUGGACUGUGACAUGCAUGGAUUAACCCAGUGAAAGCUGGGCCACG
This 446-nucleotide ribosomal RNA is filed under the name uncultured bacterium. RNAcentral's name for it is "bacterial SSU rRNA". It matches the Rfam family "Bacterial small subunit ribosomal RNA", at positions 594 to 1017 of the family's 1533-position model. The record is from RNAcentral.